AUAAUGGCGUAAAUCUCACUUAUUCUCUCCUUGUAUCCCCUAUUUAUUGGAUUCCACUAGUGGUGAAUCAUGUCCUGAUUCCUGCUUCACUACAUCUAUAAAUAAAUAGGAAUGAGCCUAUGUAUGCCCAUAAAGUUAAAUUUAGAUUUAAACAAUGUAUUAAAAUCAAUAAAAUUCCUAAAUCAGAGUCGCACUCAACUCUCUUUCUCACUCCAGACAGUCCCCUUUUUUCCUCUAUAGGAAACUUCUAGAUAUCUUAGACUCUCCCUAAAGCUCACAGGUACAAAUAGCCCCUUAUCCACUUCCCUGACUUGUCCCCAAUAGUCUCUCUACUCUUUGUCAUCACUCUCCCACUCAAAUAGCCAUUUAUCCCUCUGCUUAUAUGGUUCCCAUCACACUACUACCUAAAUUUUCCUUGAAUUUUAGCAUAAUUACCAUGGCAGCUCCUAUUUGAUAACCCAUAUGUUACCUCAUCUUUGGUCUACCCAGUCGCCCCUUUCAACCACUCCUUUGUAGGUUACCCAACACAAUAAUCAUCUGCUACAUAUUCUCAAUUUUUAACCUUACCAUUUGUAAUUCCAUCUUUUAUAUUUUGGUUUACCUAUUUCAAGAUAUUUUUCUUCACUCUUCAACCUAUGUUCAACUUUAUUUUACCCACUCAUAGUCCCUAAGUGCUCAUUUUCUUCUACUUAAUAAUUUCAUACUAAUCUGCCUCCGAUUUGGUUGCCCACAUAGUAACCAGAAUGAUAAUAUCAACAACCAUUCCACACCAUUUUAUUUUCACAUACCUGCAAUCCUUUGGUGUUUUCCACCACUCUAUUUUCCAACUUAGCAUAUACUAUUUUAUAUUGAAUGUCAAACACAUAUUUAAACUGUAACAGCUCAAACUCUCAUGUAGAGUCUUGA
RNAcentral lists this long non-coding RNA (906 nucleotides) under Carica papaya (papaya). RNAcentral describes it as "long non-coding RNA (CPAP_LNC011937)". Lineage: Eukaryota; Viridiplantae; Streptophyta; Magnoliopsida; Brassicales; Caricaceae. The record is from RNAcentral.